This is a long non-coding RNA of Maniola jurtina (meadow brown), 694 nucleotides long. RefSeq lists it as uncharacterized. NCBI's taxonomy places the organism in Eukaryota, Metazoa, Arthropoda, Insecta, Lepidoptera, Nymphalidae. The record is from RefSeq and is a predicted model, not a curated record. The transcript is spliced from 2 exons.
CACUGGCUGAAGUUCGAGGCUGCCACAGUAUGCGUGGGAGCACGACUGGAUUAAGUGCUGUGCCUUAGCAAGCGUCUCUGAGUUGCACUGGAAUUGAUAAUUAUGCAGCUUUGUGUAUCAAGUAAUAAUAGUAGGGAGCUAUAGUAUAGGCAUUGAAGCAAUGGAUUUAUAUUUUAUAAUUUUGGAAAAUGGUUUCAAUUAUACUAAGAUAAUUAAGAAGGUACGAUAUUUAAUUAUGUAGAAUUGGUUUAGCAAUUCUUUAAUGAUAGGUAUUUUGCUGAUUAGAACCUUUAAAUUUAGUUUAUUAAGACUUUCAAGUCGUUAUUAGAGCAUGAGAUGCGAAAAUAGUUUAGACAACUUGUAUGCCAAUAGUAAAAUAGCUUUGGGUAUUUGAAGGUAAGGAACGGGCUCACUUUGUCUUGGUAUCUCCGUGGGCUGCGAUCCUUUUUCUGUUUCGUCGGCGAUGAUGCGGCAGUUUUUGUACGUCUUUGUUGGUUGCGUUGUACAGGUAGAAUUGUUCACGGUCGCCACUAUGUUGGCGCACCACGCCGGAUUUGUAGGUUUACUUGUGGCCGAGAUCCAUCGGAUUUGGCGGAGGUGUAUUAAUUACAAUAAAACAGGAAAUAUAACUUUUUACAUUAUUAAUUUAUGAAUUCGACCAGCAAUGAAAAUUGGUUACAAAAGACAAAGAAGA